AAAUGGUAAAAUUGAGACCACAUUACUCUGCAAAGUCUUUGAUUUAAUCGUAGUUGAACUUUCUAACCUCCUGUUUAGGUUUAAGGUCUCAAUCUACCCCAGUUGAGCUCAAAGUUGCCACAAGAGUUGAUGCACACACUGUCACAGUGUCACGGAGAACAGUGUUGAUCUUGGCGGUGACUAGCCUGUGCAUUGUCCUGACUGGUGUGUCUGCACUCUGUCUCAUCUGGACAUGUCGUAUGUGAUAUUCAUGACAUUUCAUUCAUAGAAUAGCUCUAGGAAAACACAUUAAUGCUCAAGGCAAUGCAUUCAUUGCCAAUUAUAUCUCAAAAAGUCACCAGAUGGU
Long non-coding RNA from Clupea harengus (Atlantic herring), 346 nucleotides. NCBI's taxonomy places the organism in Eukaryota, Metazoa, Chordata, Actinopteri, Clupeiformes, Clupeidae. The record is from Ensembl.